Trichobilharzia regenti is the source of this 45-nucleotide non-coding RNA. The record is from Rfam. Lineage: Eukaryota; Metazoa; Platyhelminthes; Trematoda; Strigeidida; Schistosomatidae.
GUCCGGAUGACGAGUCCUAGAUAGGUCGAAACGCGCAUCCUGGAU